Molecule: ribosomal RNA, 484 nt
Filed under: uncultured bacterium
Lineage: Bacteria
Description: partial 16S ribosomal RNA
Rfam family: Bacterial small subunit ribosomal RNA
Source: RNAcentral
AUUGAACGCUGGCGGCAGGCCUAACACAUGCAAGUCGAGCGGAUGAAGGGAGCUUGCUCCUGGAUUCAGCGGCGGACGGGUGAGUAAUGCCUAGGAAUCUGCCUGGUAGUGGGGGAUAACGUCCGGAAACGGGCGCUAAUACCGCAUACGUCCUGAGGGAGAAAGUGAGGGAUCUUCGGACCUCACGCUAUCAGAUGAGCCUAGGUCGGAUUAGCUAGUUGGUGGGGUAAAGGCCUACCAAGGCGACGAUCCGUAACUGGUCUGAGAGGAUGAUCAGUCACACUGGAACUGAGACACGGUCCAGACUCCUACGGGAGGCAGCAGUGGGGAAUAUUGGACAAUGGGCGAAAGCCUGAUCCAGCCAUGCCGCGUGUGUGAAGAAGGUCUUCUGAUUGUAAAGCACUUUAAGUUGGGAGGAAGGGCAGUAAGUUAAUACCUUGCUGUUUUGACGUUACCAACAGAAUAAGCACCGGCUAACUUCGUG